UACAUCUGAUGCUCGUCUGCAUUACCCAUGAUUCACCUUUCCAUCCCUGAAAAUACAAAACUCGUUUUUAGCCGCAGUGACUUCAGAACUCCAAACUCACUCUGCUGCCUCAGUUAGUUGUCUGGUUUUUAUUCCCAGUCCAGGCCCCAGCUGCAUAAUACCAAAUAGUGGCAACGGAAUGGGAAUUAUCUAUUAACAUGACUUCGUGUUUAGAUGAAUUUCAUUCAGUAUAAAUGAGUAAACAGCUGGUAUGCAUCUGCUGAUGGAGCUGGGUGGGCUCUUGCUGAUCUGAGCUCAGCCUUCUCGUUAGCCACAGCUUUUUUUCUCUCUCUUUCUUUUUGCUUAUGUAACUUUGAUUUUAGCAACAGUUUUCUUCCCCUUGCCCUUUUGUUGAUGUUUUAAAUUAGUGUGUGUAUGCCGGUGGCUCCAGUUAGUGUGGCUUUAUCACAUUUAUCUUUGUCUCUGUGGGAUACGAACAUGUGUAUUCAAUUUGGAUUCCUGCUUGACUAAAUUAAGGGCAGAAAAGAGUUAGUCUUUUUUUUUUCUGUCAACAUCUUGAAUGGGUCUGGGCCAGAAGGAGGUUCUCACCGCAUUUAUGCAGAAUGUGUAUCAUGAUUAAACAUUUUUUUUAUCAGAAAUGUAUCAAUUGCUUCUGAUCUUGCUAGAAUAACAGAAGAAUUUGAUUAUUAUCGUUAUGACGAUGUUAUCUGCCUCUGUUUUGGGGGUGACUUAUUUUAUUUAUUUUUUUUACUUUUUAUCAAGUGAGGUGUAUGUGUUAGAUUUCAGUGUAAGCAAUUUCUGUGUUACAGUUUUUAAAUUAUGUUACAAACACACUCAUCUGGAUCCUAGCCCCACAUCAGACAUAGAAACACCUGCAGGCAUGGCGAGUUACUGGGAUGUUUAACAUCUUGGGUCAUUUACCUCUGUACCUCUGGGACAAAGACGUUUCUAGAAAUAAUCGAAGGGGAAAAUUUAAGGAAAACUGCAAUGACUGUAAAAAAUGAACUCCUCAAAUUCUUAAAAUAAUUUAACAUGAUGCAAAAAAAGAAAAGAAAACGUUUGCCAAAAAAUUACUUAUUAAUUAAAGAAAUGUGUGAGGGUUAAGGACCAAAUGUGACUUCAAGUCAAAAAAACAUCAUCCUUUCAGUGUAUCUGUUCAUGCUUGUAUUGGUGUUCACGAUUGGAAAUAUUC
Long non-coding RNA from Poecilia latipinna (sailfin molly), 1192 nucleotides. RefSeq lists it as uncharacterized. NCBI's taxonomy places the organism in Eukaryota, Metazoa, Chordata, Actinopteri, Cyprinodontiformes, Poeciliidae. The transcript has 2 exons. The record is from RefSeq and is a predicted model, not a curated record.